UGCCUCAUGGGCAAGAUGACUAAAACACCGUUCUCCGGUACUAUGGAGAGAGCAACAGAUUUGUUGGAAAUCAUACAUACCGAUGUAUGUGGCCCGAUGAAUAUUGAGGCUCGUGGCGGAUAUCGUUAUUUUCUCACCUUCACAGAUGAUUUAAGCAGAUAUGGGUAUAUUUACUUAAUGAAACAUAAGUCUGAAACAUUUGAAAAGUUCAAAGAAUUUCAGAGUGAAGUUGAAAAUCAUCGUAACAUGAAAAUAAAGUUUCUACGAUCUGAUCGUGGAGGAGAAUAUUUGAGUUACGAGUUU
This 303-nucleotide ribosomal RNA is filed under the name Triticum aestivum (bread wheat). RNAcentral describes it as "partial small subunit ribosomal RNA". The record is from RNAcentral. Lineage: Eukaryota; Viridiplantae; Streptophyta; Magnoliopsida; Poales; Poaceae.